This is a long non-coding RNA of Pipistrellus kuhlii (Kuhl's pipistrelle), 751 nucleotides long. RefSeq lists it as uncharacterized. NCBI's taxonomy places the organism in Eukaryota, Metazoa, Chordata, Mammalia, Chiroptera, Vespertilionidae. The record is from RefSeq and is a predicted model, not a curated record. The transcript has 3 exons.
GAACUGCGCUGCCUGUGCCUGGAGAACUUGGAUAGAAUUCACCUCAAGAACUUCCAGAGUGUGAAGGUGACCUCCCCUGGACCCUACUGCGACAAAACAGAAGUCAUAGCCACUCACAAGGAUGGACAGAAAGUUUGCCUCAACCCCGCAUCCCCCCUGGUUAAGAUGUUACUGGACAAGCUGUUAAAGAAGAGCAGCUCCAACUGACCAGAGGAAGCAGGAAGCAGGAUUGGUGACUCUGCCUGAAGCAGGCCCUGCCCUACAGAAAUUAAAGAGGAAAAAAGGAAUCAUCAUCCCCUAGAGCCACCUCGACUGGACUUAACAUGCUUGAGCAUCUCUUAGGAGAAUUCUUCUGCUUAUUUAUUUAUUUAUUUAUUGGUUGUUUUCAAAUAUUCUAUGUUAAUAGCUUACAUGUGAAAUCAUUAAGGAUCUCAUUGGCUCUACGUGGGCCUUGCACUGUUAUUUUUUAUUGUUUAUAUGAUGGCGAACCCUGGUUCACACCAUUCUGAUUCUUAUUCAAUUUGAAGGUAAAAUGCUUGCAAAUAUUCUCUAAGUCAUUAGAGUAGGAUUUCUGAGGAUCUCACAGCAGUGCCAGCUGCUAUGAUAGAGGAUGGGGGGAUCCAGACAAUAGUUAGUAAAGGAAGGGGGAUGUAUGUGUGCAUCUAUUUUUGUACAUAUUUAAAAGAAUGUCAGUUGUUAUUUAUUGGAACAAUUUCACAGUACGUGGUCAGCAUUUCUAAUGUUGAAGCUU